This 218-nucleotide ribosomal RNA is filed under the name Sphyraena guachancho. Its description in RNAcentral is "partial small subunit ribosomal RNA". Lineage: Eukaryota; Metazoa; Chordata; Actinopteri; Sphyraenidae. The record is from RNAcentral.
GUCGGUAAAACUCGUGCCAGCCACCGCGGUUAUACGAGGGGCCCAAGUUGACAGACCACGGCGUAAAGCGUGGUUAAGGGAAGACUCAAACUAAAGCCGAACGACCUCAAGGCUGUUAUACGCUUACGAAGGUACGAAGCCCGACCACGAAAGUGACUUUAACCUCACCUGACUCCACGAAAGCUGAGAAACAAACUGGGAUUAGAUACCCCACUAUG